UAGGGAAUCUUCGGCAAUGGGGGCAACCCUGAUCGAGCAACGCCGCGUGAGUGAAGAAGGUUUUCGGAUCGUAAAGCUCUGUUGUAAGAGAAGAACGUGUGUGAGAGUGGAAAGUUCACACAGUGACGGUAACUUACCAGAAAGGGACGGCUAACUACGUGCCAG
This 165-nucleotide ribosomal RNA is filed under the name uncultured bacterium. Its description in RNAcentral is "partial 16S rRNA". It matches the Rfam family "Bacterial small subunit ribosomal RNA", at positions 355 to 511 of the family's 1533-position model. The record is from RNAcentral.